ACUCCUACGGGAGGCAGCAGUGGGAAUCUUGGACAAUGGGGAACCGUAGAUCUAGCCAUGCCGCGUGAGUGACGAAGGCCCUAGGGUCGUAAAGCUCUUUCGCUGGGGAAGAUAAUGACUGUACCCAGUAAAGAAACCCCGCGUACAUCCGUGCCAGCAGCCGCGGUAAUACGGAGGGGGUUAGCGUUGUUCGGAAUUACUGGGCGUAAAGCGCGCGUAGCGGACUAUUAAGUCAGA
Molecule: ribosomal RNA, 237 nt
Filed under: uncultured bacterium
Lineage: Bacteria
Description: partial 16S ribosomal RNA
Rfam family: Bacterial small subunit ribosomal RNA
Source: RNAcentral